AGAGGCCCGGGUAAUCUUGGAAACCGCAUCGUGAUGGGGAUAGAUUAUUGCAAUUAUUAGUCUUCAACGAGGAAUGCCUAGUAAGCGCGAGUCAUCAGCUCGCGUUGAUUACGUCCCUGCCCUUUGUACACACCGCCCGUCGCUCCUACCGAUUGGGUGUGCUGGUGAAGUGUUCGGAUCGGCUUCAUCUGGUGGCAACAUCGGGUGUCGCUGAGAAGAUCAUUAAACCCUCCCACCUAGAGGAAGGAGAAGUCGUAACAAGGUUUCCGUAGGUGAACCUGCGGAAGGAUCAUUG
RNAcentral lists this ribosomal RNA (295 nucleotides) under Chloromonas reticulata. Its description in RNAcentral is "partial 18S ribosomal RNA". It matches the Rfam family "Eukaryotic small subunit ribosomal RNA", at positions 1536 to 1831 of the family's 1831-position model. The record is from RNAcentral. Lineage: Eukaryota; Viridiplantae; Chlorophyta; Chlorophyceae; Chlamydomonadales; Chlamydomonadaceae.